GUAACAAGGUCUCCGUUGGUGAACCAGCGGAGGGAUCAUUACAGAGUUACUACUCCAAACCCAUUGUGAACCUUACCUAUGUUCUGUUGCCUCGGCGGCGUGGUCAGCGCCCCUCUGAAAAGAGGACGAUGCCCUCCCGCCGGCAGCACCAAACUCUUUGAAUUUUACAGCGGAUUACAGUUCUGAUUUGAAAACAAAAAAACAAGUUAAAACUUUCAACAACGGAUCUCUUGGUUCUGGCAUCGAUGAAGAACGCAGCGAAAUGCGAUAAGUAAUGUGAAUUGCAGAAUUCAGUGAAUCAUCGAAUCUUUGAACGCACAUUGCGCCCGGCAGUAAUCUGCCGGGCAUGCCUGUCCGAGCGUCAUUUCAACCCUCGAACCUCCGUUUCCUCAGGGAAGCUCAGGGUCGGUGUUGGGGCGCUACGGCGAGUCUUCGCGACCCUCCGUAGGCCCUGAAAUACAGUGGCGGUCCCGCCGCGGUUGCCUUCUGCGUAGUAAGUCUCUUUUGCAAGCUCGCAUUGGGUCCCGGCGGAGGCCUGCCGUCAAACCACCUAUAACUCCAGAUGGUUUGACCUCGGAUCAGGUAGGGUUACCCGCUGAACUUAAGCAUAUCA
Molecule: unclassified non-coding RNA, 613 nt
Filed under: Scedosporium boydii
Lineage: Eukaryota; Fungi; Ascomycota; Sordariomycetes; Microascales; Microascaceae
Description: sequence contains 18S rRNA gene, ITS1, 5.8S rRNA gene, ITS2, 28S rRNA gene
Rfam family: 5.8S ribosomal RNA (bases 211-364)
Source: RNAcentral